UGCCUAUAAAUACCUUCAUCACGAGUAUGACAAGAUCACAAGACAAGAAAAGAAAGGUAGAGAAAACAUGAUAAUGAUGAUUACGAUGAUGAGAGUCUCUAGUUGUAUCAGAGGGUCUUGCAUGGAAGAAUAGAGAAUGAGGUUGAGCCAAGGAUGACUUGCCGGGUUUUUUUACCAAUGAAUCUAAUUAACUGAUUCUGGUGUCCGGCAAGUUGACCUUGGCUCUGUUUCCUUCUCUUCUUUUGGAUGUCAGACUCCAAGAUAUCUAUCAUCAUGAAUCGUGAUCAAACUUUGUAAUUUCAUUGAAAUGUGUUUUUCUUGAUGCGAAUUUUUUGGCUUACGGUUUUUCGAUUUGAAUGAUCAGAUUUUUGUUUUUGCA
Molecule: non-coding RNA, 379 nt
Organism: Arabidopsis thaliana (thale cress)
Lineage: Eukaryota; Viridiplantae; Streptophyta; Magnoliopsida; Brassicales; Brassicaceae
Source: RefSeq